GGAGCAACACGUGAGCAAUCUGCCCCUGACUCUGGGAUAAGCGCUGGAAACGGCGUCUAAUACUGGAUACGAACCGUGGAGGCAUCUUCAACGGUUGGAAAGAUUUUUUGGUCAGGGAUGAGCUCGCGGCCUAUCAGCUUGUUGGUGAGGUAAUGGCUCACCAAGGCGUCGACGGGUAGCCGGCCUGAGAGGGUGACCGGCCACACUGGGACUGAGACACGGCCCAGACUCCUACGGGAGGCAGCAGUG
This 249-nucleotide ribosomal RNA is filed under the name uncultured Microbacterium sp. Its description in RNAcentral is "partial 16S ribosomal RNA". It matches the Rfam family "Bacterial small subunit ribosomal RNA", at positions 107 to 356 of the family's 1533-position model. Lineage: Bacteria; Bacillati; Actinomycetota; Actinomycetes; Micrococcales; Microbacteriaceae. The record is from RNAcentral.